Long non-coding RNA from Pseudophryne corroboree (corroboree frog), 558 nucleotides. RefSeq lists it as uncharacterized. The transcript is spliced from 2 exons. NCBI's taxonomy places the organism in Eukaryota, Metazoa, Chordata, Amphibia, Anura, Myobatrachidae. The record is from RefSeq and is a predicted model, not a curated record.
UUGGAAGAGGUGGCAGAAGACACCAGGUCAAGCUUGAAGACUCCAGGACAUCUAAGCCAUGACGGCUGGGGUUCUUUGCCAAAAAGACAGUAUUGUUCUCUUUGUUAUUCAGGUGAAGUUCACGGAGUAGUCAGCUAUUGCUGAGAGGCAAAAGGGGAUCCGAUGCUUGGCAAGUUGAGGAGCGGCUCUGAUACUGGAGGGAAGGGGCGACACAGAAGUUACCCCUUUGCGCCUGCCAAAAUUGGCAGAGCAGCUGAAAUUACAAAGUGGCUACAUUUGGAAAGAUGGAGACAUUCUCUUAACAAACAAGAUGGAUCAUUGUAACCCUGACGAUAAGGAGAAAUGAGGGCAGUCAGGAGAGAUACGGAUAGCUAAUGUUAAGUUAUUGUCAGAUAUGAUGGAUCAAAGACUCUGCGUCUUCAAAGACCCAUCAGAACAACGUAAAGUGACAACGCAGCUGCACAGGGACUGAUGUGAGCUAUGCAUUGUGCUGGGAAAUGACCAACAGACAACAUUACUUUUCCUGCUGGCAUUUAGAAUAAAACACCCGUUCUGACA